AUAUACAAUGAGAUGCAAUAUCGCGAGAUGGAGCAAAUCUAUAAAAUAUGUCUCAGUUCGGAUUGCUCUCUGCAACUCGAGAGCAUGAAGCCGGAAUCGCUAGUAAUCGUAGAUCAGCCAUGCUACGGUGAAUACGUUCCCGGGUCUUGUACUCACCGCCCGUCACACCAUGGGAGUUGAUUUCACUCGAAGUCGGAAUGCUAAAUUAGCUACCGCCCACAGUGGAAUCAGCGACUGGGGUGAAGUCGUAACAAGGUAACCGUAGGAGAACCUGCGGUUGGAUCACCUCCUUUCUAGA
Molecule: ribosomal RNA, 298 nt
Filed under: Campylobacter fetus subsp. testudinum
Lineage: Bacteria; Pseudomonadati; Campylobacterota; Epsilonproteobacteria; Campylobacterales; Campylobacteraceae
Description: partial 16S ribosomal RNA
Rfam family: Bacterial small subunit ribosomal RNA
Source: RNAcentral